GACGAACGCUGGCGGCGUGCUUAACACAUGCAAGUCGAACGGAAAGGCCCUGCUGUUGUGGGGUGCUCGAGUGGCGAACGGGUGAGUAACACGUGAGUAACCUGCCCUUGACUUUGGGAUAACUUCAGGAAACUGGGGCUAAUAACGGAUAGGAGCUCCUGCUGCAUGGUGGGGGUUGGAAAGUUUCGGCGGUUGGGGAUGGACUCGCGGCUUAUCAGCUUGUUGGUGGGGUAGUGGCUUACCAAGGCUUUGACGGGUAGCCGGCCUGAGAGGGUGACCGGCCACAUUGGGACUGAGAUACGGCCCAGACUCCUACGGGAGGCAGCAGUGGGGAAUAUUGCACAAUGGGCGGAAGCCUGAUGCAGCAACGCCGCGUGCGGGAUGACGGCCUUCGGGUUGUAAACCGCUUUCGCCUGUGACGAAGCGUGAGUGACGGUAAUGUGUAAAGAAGCACCGGCUAACUACGUG
This 468-nucleotide ribosomal RNA is filed under the name uncultured bacterium. Its description in RNAcentral is "partial 16S ribosomal RNA". It matches the Rfam family "Bacterial small subunit ribosomal RNA", at positions 28 to 507 of the family's 1533-position model. The record is from RNAcentral.